Molecule: ribosomal RNA, 500 nt
Filed under: Nocardia otitidiscaviarum
Lineage: Bacteria; Bacillati; Actinomycetota; Actinomycetes; Mycobacteriales; Nocardiaceae
Description: bacterial SSU rRNA
Rfam family: Bacterial small subunit ribosomal RNA
Source: RNAcentral
UGGAGAGUUUGAUCCUGGCUCAGGACGAACGCUGGCGGCGUGCUUAACACAUGCAAGUCGAGCGGUAAGGCCCUUCGGGGUACACGAGCGGCGAACGGGUGAGUAACACGUGGGUGAUCUGCCUCGCACUCUGGGAUAAGCCUGGGAAACUGGGUCUAAUACCGGAUAUGACCAAGGGUUGCAUGAUCUUUGGUGGAAAGAUUUAUCGGUGCGAGAUGGGCCCGCGGCCUAUCAGCUUGUUGGUGGGGUAACGGCCUACCAAGGCGACGACGGGUAGCCGGCCUGAGAGGGUGAUCGGCCACACUGGGACUGAGACACGGCCCAGACUCCUACGGGAGGCAGCAGUGGGGAAUAUUGCACAAUGGGCGGAAGCCUGAUGCAGCGACGCCGCGUGAGGGAUGACGGCCUUCGGGUUGUAAACCUCUUUCGACAGGGACGAAGCGCAAGUGACGGUACCUGUAGAAGAAGCACCGGCUAACUACGUGCCAGCAGCCGCGGUA